CUUUCAUCACGAUGAGAUGAAUGGCCAGCUCCAUAAGCUGAACUUAGUUCUUCCUACCCUAUUACAAUGGCAGACCAGUAACAAUUUGUUACUUUGGUACAGCAAGUGCAGACUCUUAUGGCUGCCGUCCAAAGUCUCCAAUAGAUGUCGAAAAGGUGCCAACAAUAGCUUGAGGAGCAAGGUCCCAAUGCUGCUCCAUCUCGACACAACUGCUGAUCUCAACC
This 224-nucleotide long non-coding RNA is filed under the name Elaeis guineensis (African oil palm). Its description in RNAcentral is "long non-coding RNA (EGUI_LNC028053)". Lineage: Eukaryota; Viridiplantae; Streptophyta; Magnoliopsida; Arecales; Arecaceae. The record is from RNAcentral.